RNAcentral lists this long non-coding RNA (697 nucleotides) under Micromonas commoda. RNAcentral's name for it is "long non-coding RNA (MCOM_LNC000051)". Lineage: Eukaryota; Viridiplantae; Chlorophyta; Mamiellophyceae; Mamiellales; Mamiellaceae. The record is from RNAcentral.
CUAAGUGUUAUAUAGCGAUAACGAAAUGAAGAACCCCUCAGCGUCAUCACCACUGAAAGGAACGUACAUGGAACCGCUGCAUCGACUGAGGCUCUCAGUGGGAUCUCGUCACAUCUACUUCGCGUUUGGUAUCCUGGCCACGAGCUAAUCCAGUAUAUCAUAGCCGAAACGGUAUUCAAGGUUUACCACCUCAUAUGAGGCGUUGCGAUUACGGCCUUAAUUCUCUGCAACCGGUCUUCUGGUAGAGUUCGUUUCCAACUCAUUUUCUGAUGCAAGACCUUCACGAGGAUGGUUGCUUCGGGGCGUAGACGCGCUUUCCUGCUAUUUGGUGAUUCAUUAACCCAACGCGCGUUUGAGUGCGGAGGCUGGGGUGCUCGUUUGGCCCACCUUUUGUCUCGCAAAGCAGACAUCAUCUGUCGAGGUUUUGGAGCUUACAACACAAGGUGGUGCCGUCAUGUGGUGAGACACAUCGGUUCUUACCGAGAUUACUUCUCUGUUGUCACCGUACUUUUAGGCACGAAUGAUGCGGCACUCCCAGAUGUCGAGCCUGUUCAAGCGGUUCCACUAGACGAGUAUGUUGAAAAUUUGGAUGAUAUUCUGAAAUACCUCCGUAACCGAAGUGAGUUUGUUAUACUUUUCUCUCCUCCAUCAGUAGGGGAACUCGGGCGACUACGAGCCCAACAUCACAAAUAUGUUG